AACGAACGCUGGCGGCAGGCCUAACACAUGCAAGUCGAACGCAUCGCAAGAUGAGUGGCGCACGGGUGAGUAACACGUGGGAAUGUAUCCUUUGGUUCGGAAUAACGUCUGGAAACGGACGCUAAUACCGGAUGAGCCCUUAGGGGGAAAGAUUUAUCGCCGAAGGAGCAGCCCGCGUCUGAUUAGGUAGUUGGUGGGGUAAAGGCCUACCAAGCCGACGAUCAGUAGCUGGUCUGAGAGGAUGAUCAGCCACACUGGGACUGAGACACGGCCCAGACUCCUACGGGAGGCAGCAGUGGGGAAUAUUGGACAAUGGGCGCAAGCCUGAUCCAGCCAUGCCGCGUGAGUGAUGAAGGCCUUCGGGUUGUAAAGCUCUUUCGCACACGACGAUGAUGACGGUAGUGUGAGAAGAAGCCCCGGCUAACUUCGUGCCAGCCGCCGCAGUAA
This 447-nucleotide ribosomal RNA is filed under the name uncultured bacterium. Its description in RNAcentral is "partial 16S ribosomal RNA". It matches the Rfam family "Bacterial small subunit ribosomal RNA", at positions 29 to 523 of the family's 1533-position model. The record is from RNAcentral.